AAAGCUCUGUUUAGGGUUUAAAACCCUAAUGCUGGCUGAAAGGAAAAAGUUCAGUUUAGGUUUUAAAACCCUAAUGCUGACUAAAAGGAGAAUUCGGUUUAGGGUUUAAAACCCUAAUGCUGACUAAAAGGGAAAGUUCAGUUUAGGGUUUAAAACCCUAAUGCUGACUGGAAGGAAAAGUUCAGUUUAGGGUUUAAAACCCUAAUGCUGACUAAAAGGAAAAUUCAGUUUAGGGUUUAAAAUCCAAAUGCUAACUAAAAGGAAAAUUCAGUUUAGGGUUUAAAACCCUAAUGCUGAUUACAUGGAAAAGCUCAGUUUAGGGUUUUAAAACCAUAAUGCUGACUGAAAGAAAAAGUUCAGUUUAGGGUUUAAAACCCUAAUGCUGAUUACAUGGAAAAGCUCAAUUUAGGGUUUAAAACCCUAAUGAUGACUAAAAGGUAAAUUCAGUUUAGGGUUUAAAACCCUAAUGCUAACUAAAAGGAAAAUUCAGUUUAGGGUUUAAAACCCUAAUGCUGAUUACAUGGAAAAGCUCAGUUUAGGGUUUAAAACCCUGAUGCUGGCUGAAUGGAAAAAGAUCAGU
RNAcentral lists this long non-coding RNA (580 nucleotides) under Nicotiana tabacum (common tobacco). RNAcentral describes it as "long non-coding RNA (NTAB_LNC000900)". Lineage: Eukaryota; Viridiplantae; Streptophyta; Magnoliopsida; Solanales; Solanaceae. The record is from RNAcentral.